Molecule: long non-coding RNA, 2894 nt
Filed under: Zea mays
Lineage: Eukaryota; Viridiplantae; Streptophyta; Magnoliopsida; Poales; Poaceae
Description: long non-coding RNA (ZMAY_LNC001314)
Source: RNAcentral
UUUAAAUUAGGAUCUGUAGAUGCACGUAUUUAGCUACAUCUAGAAAUGUGUUACACUCAGUUUCGAGGACAAAAUCGAAUGCCCUCUAUACAUGUGCCAAGACCAAAAUUACAUGUCACACCCGGAUUUGAGGGGUCCAAAAUCUGGGCGCGAAAUAAUCACCAAGUGUGUUACGAUCAAGUCUCACACAUAUGAUGACUUAUGGUACAGAAACGAAUGUCACAUCAUUAAUACAUAACGGAGUUCUAUACAAAAGAAUUAAAUAAUUACAUCAUAUAAAGACAACGAUCCAACAACCAAAGCUGACCGGAGACGACAGCCUAGACCUCUCACGAACUCAUCACAACAUCCUCCAUGCGCCUCAUCCUGUGGUACCUGUUCUUGACCUGGGGGGAAUGUGAGUACAGCAAGGGUGAGCUCACAUACAUUCAUCGCUCAACAAAUUGUGGGGAAUAAUGUGCAUGAACUCGCUAAAGGUGGGAGCCUAUGUGAAGUGUAAGGCUUACCAAAUGAGAUGGUUAAAGCUGAGUAUUGCUUUUAGAGUUGGUCAAAAUUUUAUUAGCAAUUACUAAGUAUAAGUAGAUACCAAUCCCAAAUAAUAAGAGAUCACAAUUGAUAAUAACACCCGUGAUGCAAUGCAUAUGACAAAUUAAGUUUAGUUCCAUAAAUUAAUCAUCUGAGUGUCCGAGCCGCUCAUGUCCAUGAGCACGGCUGAUAUACCAGUUUUAGACUUUGUAGAGGUUGUGCAUCUUUACCCACAAGUCGUGUUACCCAUUUGCCACGGGGUUGUACGGACCCCAUACAACUCUACCAAGGAAGCGAGGCAGAGUAGCACUACGAGGCCUUUCCAAAGUUCCACUAGUUCGAGAAAACCCGAUACGGAUUCAGGAAGAAGGAAGCAUAGGAAUCCCUCGUUCGAAAAGCUUUACAGAUAGUUCGACCGGAGGACCUCCCUAUACUCUAGCAGCGACGUCUCCCCACUUGCCCCUCUCGGGUAAGGUAAUCUCUCUCUAGCUUUCCUAAUUACUUGGCCAAGGGCGUCCCAUUCCACCCUUGUGGUAGCACUGUUUUCCCGAGUGGUUCUCCAUGUUCCAAUUAACAAUAUGAUCUUAUCAUGAACAAUAAUUAAACAACAACAUAAUUGGAACAUGACCAUAAUAAAACAUUAGUUUCCCAAAACCAGAUAGAGCAAUUGCAAAUCUACCCAAUAAUUUAUCUGUUUGCAAGGUGGAGGAUAAACAAUGCUAGGGAAACCUAUUAGGUCCCAUCAAAUUAACCUGAACAUGGCACACUGAUUAACAAGAACAUUAUUAGGUAAAGACAAGUGAUCAAUGGCACAACUUGUCUUAGACUCAAUAUUUCUAGGUGCCAACUUGGUCUUCAAGUGCCUCGUAACCUCACUGCUACUCGUAGCAAUACAAACAAACAUGGCAUAGGAAAAUAUUAACAUCACAUCAAACAUGAGAACAUACUGCAUAAUAAUGAUCUACACAUCGCAAUGAGAUCCCAGGUUCGAGAACCACUAAAUUCGGAGCUACGGUUAGUAAGAUAUGGUUUUCGGAAGAUUACCAUGAUUAAAUGAUACGAACUAAAUUCUAUGUUGAUUAAUGUAAAUCAUAUGAGAAAAGUUAUUAAAGAAAUAACUAAUUCAACUGUAAUCUAAAUUAUAACUUUAUUAUAGAUCGGAUUAUAUUUAUGGAUAGAUUAAGUAGGAUAAAUCUAAUAACCAUAGGAUAAACAAAUAUCUAAUUAUAAAAGUAUGUGAUAUGAUACAAUUAAGGUUGUUACUGCAUAGGCAAUUUUAUUACAAAGCUAACGCAAUUGGAAUAGAUUAAGUCGAAGUUAAAACGAGUAAAAUAUGAGUUUUCUAAGUUUAAUGAUUUAUUUUUUACACUAUAAACCAUUUUUAGAUUUUAUUUUAUAUUAAUUAUGAUUUCCCUCGACGGUGGCCAUCAUUUACAAUAAGUCUAGGGUUUUCUUUGUAAAAACAAGGACUUAUUCGUAAUAGUAUUUGCACUUGGGGGAACCGUGGGUUGAAUACACGAUUCUGCAGUGACUCUUUAGCAAAGUUAGACGACCGAAGGGGUAUGGGACGAUUUUGGCCAUUGGAUUUCAAUCUGAGGGUUCGGAUUAGAUGUACAUCACUAUGAACCAUUAUACGAUUGUGAUCGUUGAUCAAAAGAUCUGUGGCACAGAUUAGUUUUAAACGAACUCUCAUCUUGUCCCUCCAUCUUCCGAUCAAUGGUCGCGAAGCCUUCUAGCCGAACGGUAUGCACGGUCCGAUCCGAGCCGUUAGCGGCUGGAUCAACGGUUGUCGCUGUGUCAUCCUCCGACCUCCUCACCACAGACCAAACGCGGCGCGCCGCCCUACCUCACGGCAAAAGGGCGCACCGGUGACGAGUCAGCCAUGAAUCGAUGCCUAAGCACUGUUUCUACCGGAGCCACGUGACGAGGAGGAUGAGGCGGACUUGGAUGAGGACUACUUACUGGAUGGUGCGGCAUGGAGGGCUCUGCCCUCUGCACGCAGCGGACCAAUGGCGGAGGUUCAACUCCGGUGAGUAAUUCCGGUGACCUUAGUGGACUUCCCCGCCUGAGUCGGCCAUGGCUAUAUCCAGUGAACACCUGUGAACCUGCACGGCCACCGCACGAGGGAAAUCAUUGGUGUAAAUGUGGGUCGACGACGGCUUCAUUUUCCCUCACGGAGCCGCAACUAGGAUAGUUCUUGAGGCGACGAAGGAAGGAGGUGGCGGCUCGAGCUGGAGGACAAAGGGGUCGAGUUUUAUAGCCCGAGCAAGGAGCCCCGCGAGUUUCGCAACCACCCCCGACAGAUAUGGUGUGCGCAUGGUUGGGGAUCCGGUCAACACAGCUGAUCUCGUGGUGUCUGUUUGGGAGGG